This 468-nucleotide ribosomal RNA is filed under the name Fusarium delphinoides. Its description in RNAcentral is "eukaryotic LSU rRNA". The stretch from base 101 to 254 matches the Rfam family "5.8S ribosomal RNA". Lineage: Eukaryota; Fungi; Ascomycota; Sordariomycetes; Hypocreales; Nectriaceae. The record is from RNAcentral.
GGCGGCUCCCCGCUUCCCCGUAAAACGGGAGCGGCCCGCCAGAGGACCCAACAAACUCUGUUAUUUUCAGUAUCUUCUGAGUAAAAACACAAUCAAUUAAAACUUUCAACAACGGAUCUCUUGGUUCUGGCAUCGAUGAAGAACGCAGCGAAAUGCGAUAAGUAAUGUGAAUUGCAGAAUUCAGUGAAUCAUCGAAUCUUUGAACGCACAUUGCGCCCGCCAGUACUCUGGCGGGCAUGCCUGUUCGAGCGUCAUUACAUCCCUCAAGCCCCAGCGGCUUGGUGUUGGGCUUCGGCCGUCCUCAGCGGCGGCCGUGCCCCAAAUACAGUGGCGGUCUCGCCCCCGGCUCCUCUGCGUAGUAGUAACAUCUCGCACUGGGACGGAGCGAAGGCCACGCCGUAAAACAACCCAACUUUCUGAAUGUUGACCUCGGAUCAGGUAGGAAUACCCGCUGAACUUAAGCAUAUC